Sciurus carolinensis (gray squirrel) is the source of this 1458-nucleotide RNA transcript. It is a transcript of the gene named chromosome 4 C12orf75 homolog, with no coding region annotated. The record is from RefSeq and is a predicted model, not a curated record. NCBI's taxonomy places the organism in Eukaryota, Metazoa, Chordata, Mammalia, Rodentia, Sciuridae. The transcript is spliced from 7 exons.
GUGGGUCCGGCGGGGUCCCCGGCGGGGCGGGGCGGGGCGGGGGUGCCGGGCGAUUUCCGCCCCGCCCGCCCGCGCCCCCCGGCGGCGGGAGGGGCGUCCCCGGCGCGUCCCCCGCUCUGCGCCCGCCGGCCUCCCGCUCGGGGCGCGCCGCUCUCGGCUGGUCUCCGCCCCCAGGACCCGCGGCCGCGAGCUCCCGAGCGCGGCUUCCCGGCCGGCGGCGCGAUGGGCUGCGGGAACUCCACCGCCACCAGCGCGGGCGCGGGUCGAGGUCCUGCAGGAGCAGCUAAAGACGUAACAGAAGAAUCGAUAACAGAAGAUGACAAGAGGAGAAACUAUGGAGGAGUAUAUGUUGGCCUCCCAUCUGAAGCUGUCAGUAUGGUAUCCAAUCAAACCAAGACUGUACGAAAAAAUUAGAGGAAAAUAACAUCACGGCGUAGUAAUCAAGAGAUCUCCAGGAGAGAUGGGCGGUCGCCACUGAGCAGAGAUGGCAGCAGGCAGGAGAGACUCGUCGCCGGUCCCCACUGGAUUCCAUCCUUCCCGGCGAUGCCAACCUCUUGUCAAGACUAUCCUGUCUGCUGGGAUAGCCUUUUCUCCUUUGGGAGUCAGACAGCCUUGGAUUUGAAAUCAGACUUUUUUACUUAUUACUCAGCUUGCUCAUCGAUUUGGAAGGAGACAUUUCCACGUGCACAGACAUCCCAAGGAAAUUCUAAAGUUCCCCCUCUCCCUGAAUCUCCCAACGUGAAAGCAAGCGUGGGCACAGGCCGCAGGUGACAGCAGCAUGCUAUUUAUGGAACUCCGUGGCUCGCCCACGACAGACAGGGCAGACCGUCCGGGGCCAUCGUCCAGCCUGGGCUGUCGGGCUCCCAGCAUUGUCUUUGGCCACUCAGUGCCACCGGUGGACAUCAUGUCUUCUCACGGAUACUUUUUGGAUAAUUUUUAUAUGACAAAAUCCUUAUUCUGUUUAUAACUUAAAAUAAUAAGGCAUUACAAAUGCAUUAUCUAAAGUAAAAUAUUUGCCUCUUAUCUUUCACUCUUUCUACUGCCCAUUAAUUUUUAGCUGUAAAAUUGGUAAAUGGAUUCUUACUAUUCUCUCUUUCCCUUUUUUACUAUUUGGUUUUCUAAUUUUAUUUAGAUGUUAGGGAAUUUUCUUUACCUGGAACCUUGUAUAGCAUUGCAAUAUUUAAAAAUAAACUAGUUAAAUUUGCAUGCCCCAAACACAGGUUUUCUUUGGUCAGAGGCUUGUGUGACCACACACGCUUCCUGGCCACUGAAUUUCUCAUUCCACCUUUGUGUGAUCAUGGCAUUUUGCCAUAUUAAUUCCAUACAGUUUUCAAGGACUUAAUAACCUGAUACCUGGAAAGUUCUUAAUUUGCUAAUGACAUGUACAUCUAUUUAUUAUUGCAAUGUAAAGUACUCAACUUACCAGUGUAGUUCAACAAUUAAACAUUUUUAUCCCUC